GGAUGUGAGGGCGAUCUGGCUGCAACAUCUGUCACCCCAUUGAUCGCCAGGGUUGAUUCGGCUGAUCUGGCUGGCUAGGCGGGCGUCCCCUUCCUCCCUCACCGCUUCAUGUGCGUCCCUCCCGAAGCUGCGCGCUCGGUCGAAGAGGACGACCUUCCCCGAUAGAGGAGGACCGUUCUUCGGUCAAGGGUAUACGAGUAGCUGCGCUCCCCUGCUAGAACUUCCAAACAAGCUCUCAAGGUCCAAGUAUUAAAAAGUUCUUCCCUGGCCUUCGAUACCACACCGCUUAAAUUUAAUCCAUU
Ursus americanus (American black bear) is the source of this 302-nucleotide unclassified non-coding RNA. Its record names the gene 7SK. It matches the Rfam family "7SK RNA". From Rfam's summary of the family: 7SK was discovered as an abundant small nuclear RNA in the mid-70s but a possible function has only recently been suggested. Two independent studies have found that 7SK RNA binds the CDK9/cyclin T complex (known as elongation factor P-TEFb). NCBI's taxonomy places the organism in Eukaryota, Metazoa, Chordata, Mammalia, Carnivora, Ursidae. The record is from Ensembl.